UACGUAGGGGCCGAGCGUUGUCCGGAGUUACUGGGCGUAAAGCGCGCGCAGGCGGCUCGUCAAGCCUGACGUGAAAGCCCCCGGCUCAACCGGGGAGGGUCGUCGGGGACUGGCGGGCUUGAGGUCGGCAGGGGCUGGUGGAAUUCCCGGUGUAGUGGUGAAAUGCGUAGAGAUCGGGAGGAACACCCGUGGCGAAGGCGGCCAGCUGGGCCGGACCUGACGCUGAGGCGCGAAGGCGUGGGGAGCGAACGGGAUUAGAUACCCCCGUAGUCC
RNAcentral lists this ribosomal RNA (273 nucleotides) under uncultured bacterium. RNAcentral describes it as "partial 16S ribosomal RNA". It matches the Rfam family "Bacterial small subunit ribosomal RNA", at positions 524 to 796 of the family's 1533-position model. The record is from RNAcentral.